CAAGAGUACCCAGAUGCAGCGCAAGAUGGCGGACCCAAAGAUGAAAAAACGCAAUAACAAAACGCAAUACAUUUCCGCAUUACCUCCGAUUGGCGCAAUGAAUUUCCGCAUUACCUCCGAUUGGCGGACCCAAAACAUGAACUUCCGCUUUGCGAUGCCAGAACAGUAGGUGGCGGUAUGCACCUACACUUUCUGACGGCAAAAUUUACAGAAGAAGAAGAACUCUCAGGAAGUUUGAAAAGAAGCAAGCCGUCCGCAUUCAUUCAAUCUCACCUCCGACCCACUCAAACUAACCCUAACCCUGCAUUCCAUUGUUUCCAUCAUGGGAAAUCUAAGUGACGCUCUCAAAUUAACAGGAACAUUGCGCAGAAGAUAUGUCCUGGGCAAUGGACUGAGAAAACGGGCAGAGAUUUGGAGGUAUUUGUGCAUGCUCUAUAUUACAGUUGAAAAGUGUAUAACAGCUUUCCAAUGCUGUUACUUGUGGCGAACACCUUUUUGCUUGAGUUGAUGCGUGCCCGCAGGUGGAAUAAUGUCACAUGUCAC
RNAcentral lists this long non-coding RNA (543 nucleotides) under Xyrichtys novacula (pearly razorfish). The record is from RNAcentral. Lineage: Eukaryota; Metazoa; Chordata; Actinopteri; Labriformes; Labridae.